Molecule: transfer RNA, 75 nt
Filed under: Nitrospinota bacterium
Lineage: Bacteria; Pseudomonadati; Nitrospinota
Description: tRNA-Gly
Rfam family: tRNA
About the family: Transfer RNA (tRNA) molecules are approximately 80 nucleotides in length. Their secondary structure includes four short double-helical elements and three loops (D, anti-codon, and T loops). Further hydrogen bonds mediate the characteristic L-shaped molecular structure. tRNAs have two regions of fundamental functional importance: the anti-codon, which is responsible for specific mRNA codon recognition, and the 3' end, to which the tRNAs corresponding amino acid is attached (by aminoacyl-tRNA synthetases). tRNAs cope with the degeneracy of the genetic code in two manners: having more than one tRNA (with a specific anti-codon) for a particular amino acid; and 'wobble' base-pairing, i.e. permitting non-standard base-pairing at the 3rd anti-codon position.
Source: RNAcentral
GCGGGAGUAACUCAGUGGUAGAGUGUCACCUUGCCAAGGUGGAGGUCGCGAGUUCGAAUCUCGUCUCCCGCUCCA